GAUGAAGAACGUAGCGAAAUGCGAUAAGUAAUGUGAAUUGCAGAAUUCAGUGAAUCAUCGAAUCUUUGAACGCACAUUGCGCCCGCCAGUAUUCUGGCGGGCAUGCCUGUCUGAGCGUCAUUUCAACCCUCAUGCCCCUAGGGCGUGGUGUUGGGGAUCGGCCAAAGCCCGCAAGGGACGGCCGGCCCCUAAAUCUAGUGGCGGACCCGUCGUGGCCUCCCCUGCGAAGUAGUGAUAUUCCGCAUAGGAGAAGCGACGAGCCCCUGCCGUUAAACCCCCAACUUUCUCAAGUUGACCUCAGAUCAGGUAGGAAUACCCGCUGAACUUAAGCAUAUCAAUAAGCGGAGGA
RNAcentral lists this unclassified non-coding RNA (349 nucleotides) under soil metagenome. RNAcentral describes it as "partial contains 5.8S ribosomal RNA, internal transcribed spacer 2, and large subunit ribosomal RNA". The stretch from base 1 to 120 matches the Rfam family "5.8S ribosomal RNA", at positions 35 to 154 of the family's 154-position model. The record is from RNAcentral.